Molecule: ribosomal RNA, 237 nt
Filed under: uncultured bacterium
Lineage: Bacteria
Description: partial 16S ribosomal RNA
Rfam family: Bacterial small subunit ribosomal RNA
Source: RNAcentral
GACAUAGGUGGCGAACGUUAUCCGGAUUUAUUGGGCGUAAAGGAUGCGUAGAUGGUAGAAUAAGUUAUUGGUUGAAAUCGAGCUCAACUUGAUGGAGGCUAGUAAUACUGUUCUACUGGAGGGCAGAAGAGGUUAGCGGAACUUACACAAGUAGGGGUGAAAAUCCAAUGAUCUGUGAGGGACCACCAAAAAAGGCGAAGGCAGCUAACGUAUUCUGUUCCUGACAUUGAGGCAUGG